Molecule: ribosomal RNA, 680 nt
Filed under: uncultured archaeon
Lineage: Archaea
Description: bacterial SSU rRNA
Rfam family: Archaeal small subunit ribosomal RNA
Source: RNAcentral
GUACUGGAAGGUCCUCAGGCCGAAAGGGGCUCUGCCCGCCCGAGGAUGGGCCGGCGGCCGAUUAGGUAGUUGGUGGGGUAACGGCCCACCAAGCCGAAGAUCGGUACGGGCCAUGAGAGUGGGAGCCCGGAGAUGGACACUGAGACACGGGUCCAGGCCCUACGGGGCGCAGCAGGCGCGAAACCUCCGCAAUGCGGGCAACCGCGACGGGGGGACCCCCAGUGCCGUGGCAACGCCACGGCUUUUCCGGAGUGUAAAAAGCUCCGGGAAUAAGGGCUGGGCAAGGCCGGUGGCAGCCGCCGCGGUAAUACCGGCGGCCCGAGUGGUGGCCGCUAUUAUUGGGCCUAAAGCGUCCGUAGCCGGGCCCGUAAGUCCCUGGCGAAAUCCCACGGCUCAACCGUGGGGCUUGCUGGGGAUACUGCGGGCCUUGGGACCGGGAGAGGCCGGGGGUACCCCUGGGGUAGGGGUGAAAUCCUAUAAUCCCAGGGGGACCGCCAGUGGCGAAGGCGCCCGGCUGGAACGGGUCCGACGGUGAGGGACGAAGGCCAGGGGAGCGAACCGGAUUAGAUACCCGGGUAGUCCUGGCUGUAAAGGAUGCGGGCUAGGUGUCGGGCGAGCUUCGAGCUCGCCCGGUGCCGAAGGGAAGCCGUUAAGCCCGCCGCCUGGGGAGUACGGCCGCA